UACGUAGGGGGCAAGCGCUAUCCGGAUUCACUGGGCGUAAAGGGAGCGCAGGCGGCACGGCAAGUCUGGUGUGAAAACCCGGGGCUCAACCCCGGGACUGCAUUGGAAACUGCCGGGCUGGAGUGUCGGAGGGGUAAGCGGAAUUCCUAGUGUAGCGGUGAAAUGCGUAGAUAUUAGGAGGAACACCAGUGGCGAAGGCGGCUUACUGGACGAUGACUGACGCUGAGGCUCGAAAGCGUGGGGAGCAAACAGG
RNAcentral lists this ribosomal RNA (253 nucleotides) under uncultured bacterium. RNAcentral's name for it is "partial 16S ribosomal RNA". It matches the Rfam family "Bacterial small subunit ribosomal RNA", at positions 524 to 776 of the family's 1533-position model. The record is from RNAcentral.